This 3096-nucleotide small RNA is filed under the name Pongo abelii (Sumatran orangutan). RNAcentral's name for it is "retained intron". The record is from RNAcentral. Lineage: Eukaryota; Metazoa; Chordata; Mammalia; Primates; Hominidae.
GCACUCUCUACCCAAAGGGGCUCACUUCACGUUUUCCUGACCAAGCUUCCCAUACUUGGGGAUGCCUGCAGCACAAGGAUUGCCUAUCUCACCUCCCUCCUUGAAGUCACCGUAGCCAACCCUGUUGAAGGAGAGCUACCAAUCACAGUUUCUGUUGAUGUGGAACCCAACUUUGUGGCAGUAGGUCUUUAUCAUCUGGCUGUAGGAAUGAAUAAUCGAGCUUGGUUUUAUGUCCUUGGAGAGAAUGCUGUGAAAAAAUUGAAAGAUAUGGAGUAUCUGGGAACAGUAGCCAGUAUUUGCCUUCAUUCUGACUAUGCUGCUGCACUUUUUGAAGGCAAAGUCCAGUUACAUUUGAUAGAAAGCGAAAUCUUGGAUGCUCAAGAAGAACGUGAGACUCGGCUUUUCCCAGCAGUGGAUGAUAAGUGCCGUAUCUUAUGCCACGCCUUAACUAGUGAUUUCCUCAUCUAUGGUACAGAUACUGGUGUCGUUCAGUAUUUCUACAUUGAAGACUGGCAAUUUGUUAAUGAUUAUCGACAUCCUGUCAGUGUGAAAAAGAUUUUUCCCGACCCAAAUGGGACCAGAUUAGUUUUCAUUGAUGAAAAAAGUGAUGGAUUUGUUUACUGUCCAGUUAAUGACGCUACUUAUGAGAUUCCAGAUUUUUCACCAACCGUUAAAGGUGUUCUUUGGGAAAACUGGCCAAUGGAUAAAGGUGUAUUUAUUGCUUAUGAUGAUGAUAAGGUGUACACUUAUGUCUUUCACAAGGACACUAUACAAGGAGCCAAGGUUAUUUUGGCUGGUAGCACCAAAGUUCCUUUUGCUCAUAAACCUUUGCUGCUAUAUAAUGGAGAGUUGACCUGCCAAACACAGAGUGGAAAAGUAAACAACAUCUACCUUAGCACCCAUGGCUUUCUCAGCAACUUAAAAGAUACGGGGCCUGAUGAACUGAGACUAAUGCUGGCACAGAAUUUAAUGCUAAAAAGGUUUUCUGAUGCUUGGGAAAUGUGCAGGAUUCUGAAUGAUGAGGCUGCCUGGAAUGAGUUGGCCAGAGCUUGUCUACAUCACAUGGAAGUGGAGUUUGCAAUCCGUGUUUAUCGGAGAAUUGGAAAUGUUGGCAUAGUGAUGUCCUUGGAACAAAUAAAGGGAAUAGAGGACUACAAUCUUUUGGCAGGACACCUUGCCAUGUUUACCAACGAUUAUAACCUGGCUCAGGACCUGUACCUUGCAUCCAGCUGUCCUAUUGCUGCCCUGGAGAUGAGAAGGGAUUUACAGCAUUGGGACAGUGCUCUACAACUGGCAAAGCAUUUGGCCCCAGACCAGAUACCUUUUAUAUCAAAAGAAUAUGCUGUUCAGCUUGAAUUCGCGGGUGAUUAUGUAAAUGCUUUGGCUCAUUAUGAGAAAGGAAUAACAGGUGAUAAUAAGGAACAUGAUGAAGCUUGUCUGGCUGGAGUGGCCCAGAUGUCCAUAAGAACGGGAGACAUACGUCGAGGGGUUAACCAAGCCCUCAAGCAUCCCAGCAGGGUCCUUAAAAGAGACUGUGGAGCCAUAUUGGAGAAUAUGAAGCAAUUUUCAGAAGCGGCCCAACUGUAUGAGAAAGGUCUCUACUAUGACAAAGCAGCAUCUGUUUAUAUCCGCUCUAAGAAUUGGGCAAAAGUUGGUGAUCUUCUGCCCCACGUUUCUUCUCCUAAGAUCCAUUUGCAGUAUGCCAAAGCCAAGGAAGCAGAUGGAAGAUACAAAGAAGCUGUUGUGGCUUAUGAGAAUGCAAAACAAUGGCAAAGUGUAAUCCGCAUCUAUCUGGAUCACCUCAAUAAUCCUGAAAAAGCUGUCAAUAUUGUUAGAGAGACCCAGUCUCCAGAUGGAGCCAAAAUGGUAGCCAGGUUUUUUCUACAGCUUGGUGACUAUGGAUCUGCCAUCCAGUUUCUUGUCAUGUCCAAAUGUAACAAUGAAGCUUUCACACUGGCUCAGCAACACAACAAAAUGGAAAUCUAUGCAGAUAUUAUUGGUUCUGAAGACACUACUAAUGAAGACUAUCAAAGCAUUGCCUUAUACUUUGAAGGAGAAAAGAGAUAUCUUCAGGCUGGAAAAUUCUUCUUGCUGUGUGGCCAAUAUUCACGAGCACUUAAACACUUCCUGAAAUGCCCAAGCUCGGAAGAUAAUGUGGCAAUAGAAAUGGCAAUUGAAACUGUUGGUCAGGCCAAAGAUGAACUGCUGACCAAUCAGCUGAUAGACCACCUCCUGGGGGAGAACGAUGGCAUGCCUAAGGAUGCCAAGUACCUGUUCCGCUUGUACAUGGCUCUGAAGCAAUACCGAGAAGCUGCCCAGACUGCCAUCAUCAUUGCCAGAGAAGAGCAGUCUGCAGGCAACUACCGGAAUGCACACGAUGUUCUCUUCAGUAUGUAUGCAGAACUGAAAUCCCAGAAGAUCAAAAUUCCCUCCGAGAUGGCCACCAACCUCAUGAUUCUGCACAGCUAUAUACUAGUGAAGAUUCAUGUUAAAAAUGGAGAUCACAUGAAAGGGGCUCGCAUGCUUAUUCGGGUGGCCAACAACAUCAGCAAGUUUCCAUCACACAUCGUACCCAUCCUGACGUCAACUGUGAUUGAGUGUCACAGGGCAGGCCUGAGGAACUCUGCUUUCAGCUUCGCAGCUAUGUUGAUGAGGCCUGAAUACCGCAGCAAAAUAGAUGCCAAAUACAAAAAGAAGAUCGAGGGAAUGGUCAGGUAGGCAGAGACAGCUAUUUCGGCUAUCUAAUCAUAUUUCUCAAAGGUAUUUCCAAAAAUGUAGCUGCCAAUGUGCAGGCUCAGUAAGAAAACGGUGGGGGGCCAGGUGCAGUGGCUCACGCCUAUAAUCCCAACACUUUGGAAGGCUGAGGUGGACGAAUCACUUGAGGUCAGUAGUUCAAGACCAGCCUGGCCAAUAUGAUGAAACCCUAUCUCUACUAAAAAUACAAAAAUUGGCUGGGCGUGGUGGCACACACCUGUAGUCCCAGCUACUCAGGAGGCUGGGGCAGGAGAAUUGCUUGAACCUGGGAGUCGGAGGUUGCAGUGAGCCGAGAUCGUGCCACUGCACUCCAGCCUGGGCAAUUGAGCGAGACUCCAUCUC